This 492-nucleotide ribosomal RNA is filed under the name uncultured bacterium. Its description in RNAcentral is "partial 16S ribosomal RNA". It matches the Rfam family "Bacterial small subunit ribosomal RNA", at positions 29 to 507 of the family's 1533-position model. The record is from RNAcentral.
AGUGAACGCUGGCGGCAGGCCUAACACAUGCAAGUCGAACGGCAGCACAGUAAGAGCUUGCUCUUACGGGUGGCGAGUGGCGGACGGGAGAGGAAUAUAUCGGAAUCUACUUUUUCGUGGGGGAUAACGUAGGGAAACUUACGCUACUACCGCAUACGACCUACGGGUGAAAGCAGGGGAUCUUCGGACCUUGCGCGAUUGAAUGAGCCGAUGUCGGAUUAGCUAGUUGGCGGGGUAAAGGCCCACCAAGGCGACGAUCCGUAGCUGGUCUGAGAGGAUGAUCAGCCACACUGGAACUGAGACACGGUCCAGACUCCUACGGGAGGCAGCAGUGGGGAAUAUUGGACAAUGGGCGCAAGCCUGAUCCAGCCAUACCGCGUGUGUGAAGAAGGCCUUCGGGUUGUAAAGCCCUUUUGUUGGGAAAGAAAAGCAUCAGGUUAAUACCCCGCUGUUCUGACGGUACCCAAAGAAUAAGCACCGGCUAACUUCGUG